UUAUAGUACUACUUCAAUGAUAUAAUUUGCAUAAGACUCAUUUAUAGUUAAUAGUAUUAUUUGCAAUACAAAUACAAAUCAUGACAAUUCAAUACAUUAACUGUUGGUACAUUAAUUUAUAAAAUAUACUUUUCAAGGUUUAUUCACAGAUAGGGAGAUGCUUUGAUGCAUCAGUGAGCUACUCUUCAGCUUGUAACCUUUUAUAGGCCAGUAUGUAAUUCUGCAUGGUGUGGUAAAGCUCGAAACAAGGGACUAUACGCAGUGACACAUCACACUGUCGACAUUUAAAUGCAGUUUCGUGACCUGGUCUUCGUUUUUUGGGAAGGCCCUGACUGGCAAGCAUCUGUGCAGCUGCAGGAUUGCACACAACACAUUGCAGAGACUUUGACUUUCCUUCAUUGGGGAUCUUGGAAGGGAAAUGUCUGACUGUUAGUCUUUCCAGAAACUGUGUCUUAGGACGUCCUGGUACAGGGGUGACCAAAGCGUCAAGGGGAUGAGACUCAAUAAGUUGUGAUACAAGUUUUUUACGGAAAGACAAAUGUGACAUUGGGUGGAUAGAGUUAUGCUUGUAUGCUAUGUAAGAAUUAAGAACAGUGAGACUCAAAACAUGAAAGAAAACCUUUUUCCACUAUUUCAUUGUUCUAAUGUUUGACCUGGAAUUUGCAACCAUCUGCAUCAAUCUCAAUAAUGAACUUAAUGCAUGUCUUUACUUCAUCUGUAUAUAUUAUUAUUGUUUACUUUUUUAGCCUUUUACUAUUAAAAAUGCCUGCCAAGUUUGGACAGACACUGCUAUCUGCCUUCGCCUUCAAUGCCGUCAGGCAGAUCUACUUAGAAUAACACUACUUUGCCUUAUUUUCCUGUUUGGAUAUCUUGCAGAGUUUAAGUAAAAUCAAGUAUUCAGCUGAAAACACAAAAAAUGCAAAUAAUAUUAUGCUUUCUUUCCUGGAAAAAUGUUGUUGUGAUAGACCCUGUGCGAAAAACACCAGGGAAUCUGUAUUUAAGUGACCUUAAUAUUAUGCGUAAACCUAAGUGUGCAUUUGUAGGCGGUGUCGAAAUGGGUCUUUAGCUCUGCCUGAACUGUCGUCCAAUUGGUUUACAAGGCCGGCUGAAGUGACAAGCCAUCAAAAACUGUACAGCAUGACUGAUUCGGAGACGGCCCUCAACACUCGCCCAGUCGUGUCGAGAGGAUCGGUGUCUUUGCAGGCGGUGUCGAAAUGGGUCUUUAGCUCUGCCUGAACUGUCGUCCAAUUUGUUUACAAGUCCAGCUGAAUUGACGGGCCAUCAAAAACUGUACAGCAUGACUGAUUCGGAGGCGGCCCUCAACACUCGCUCAGUCGUGUCGAGAGGAUCGGUGUCUUUGCAGAUUACACGGAAUUGAGCACCUGGGCCAGAUUGACACUUUCCGGAGCCUGUCUGAGACGGAACGCGAGCCGAGGCAUCAUAGGUCCAGGCGGUGUCGAAAUGGGUCUUUAGCUCUGCCUGAACUGUCGUCCAAUUGGUUUACAAGUCCGGUAGAAUUGACAGGCCAUCAAAAACUGUACAGCAUGACUGAUUCGGAGGCGGCCCUCAACACUCGCCCAGUGGUGUCGAGAGGAUCCGUGUCUUUGCAGAUUACAUGGAAUUGAGCACCUGGGCCAGACUGACACUUUCCGGAGCCUUCAGAGACGGAACUCGAGCCGAGGAAUCAUAGGUCCAGGCGGUGUCGAAAUGGGUCUUUAGCUCUGCCUGAACUGUCGUCCAAUUGGUUUACAAGUCUGGCUGAAUUGACAGGCCAUCAAAAACUGCACAGCAUGACUGAUUCGGAGGCGGCCCUCAGCACUCGCCCAGUCGUGUCGAGAGGAUCGGUGUCUUUGCAGAUUACACGGAAUUGAGCACCUGGGCCAAACUGACACUUUCCGGAGCCUGUCCGAGACGGAACUCGAGCCGAGGAAUCAUAGAUCCAGGCGGUGUUGAAAUGGGUCUUAAGCUCUGCCUGAACUGUCGUCCAAUUGGUUUUACAAGUCCGGCUGAAUUGACAGGCCAUCAAAAACUGUACAGCAUGACUGAUUCAGAGGCGCCCUCAGCACUCGCCCAGUCGUGUCGAGAGGAUCGGUGUCUUUGCAGAUUACACGGAAUUGAGCACCUGCGCCAGACUGACACUUUCCAGAGCCUGUCCGAGACGGAACUCGAGCCGAGGAAUCAUAGGUCAAGGUGUGACAAAAGACUUAAAGCUCAUGUCUGCCAAUGACUUUUUUUUAGUCAGGAAGUCAAGUGUGUUGUUUUUUCAUGCAAUCAAGCCCUUUGGUUGGGUCAAAUGUCAUUAGAAAUGCUGCUUCUACAUGGAUUUUACCUAAAAUGUGCCAAAAUGUUUAGGUCCAGGUGUGACAAAAGACUUAAAGCUCAUGUCUGCGGAUGACUUUUUUUUAGUCAGGAAGUCAAGUGUGUUGUUUUUUCAUGCAAGCAAGCCCUUUUGUUGGGUCAAAUGACAUAAGAAAUGCUGUUUCAACAUGGAUUUAACCUAAAAUGUGCCAAAUUAAAAAAAAAAGUUUGUUCGAAUCCGGUUCAAAUCCUGCUUUGAUGCACAAAUAUUGCCAUUGAUGAUUUUUUUUUUCACUUAUUAAGUCAUAUGUUAAAUCAGCUUUGCCUAUAAGAAUCGAAAGUGAUGCCAUGUAUGGAGUCUAAGUGCUGCAUUUAUGAGAUAACCAAGUUUGGCUUUUCUACCUUAAUUCUUGACGCGAAACGCUGUUACGCAUGGCGCUUUCAACAGCAACCAUUAUGAAUAAAUCUGUGUGCCAUUGUACCGGAACUUUGUGAUCUUUCUCAAAACAGAUUACACCUGUGGGAAAAGUGCCUUUAAUUCAAAUUUGAAGGGGUUGGGUUUUCUUAAAGGGGCCUUUUCACAGAUUUUGGCAUAUUUUGAAGUUUGUCAUUAAAUGCUUUAUAUUGAUAGAUGUAAACAUUGGAUCUUAGAAGCUCCAGUAAAAAAUUCAAGAAUAAAAUUCAAAAAAGGAAAAAAAAGUAGCCGGUACCAGGGCUCGAACCAGUGACCCCCGGAGUCCUGGAUUAAGUCUGAAGUAAAAACGCAUUAGCCCUCUCGGCUAUUCCGUCAGGUAUACACAGUUUAAGUAUCUUAUACCUUAUAAAGCAAUCUUCGUAGUUUCAUAAAUUUAAACGACAACAACAGAACUCUCCAAAUUAUUCAAUCGUUUCGCGUUGCAAGGCUUUAUAAUUUUUAGGUUUUCAAAUCGUCAAAAGAUACAUAUAAUGGCUAAAUUGGACUAUGGUAAAUGUUCAGUAAUACUGUUUCCUCACAAUUAUCAUAACUAAAACGAAAAUUUGCGAAUCUGAAAAAACUUUUUUCAAUUUUGUCAAUUUACCAAACCGUGAAAAGAUCCCUUUAAAGGUCACAUAACCCCAAACCGGAACUCCUGUUUUUAGGGUAACAUGCAGUCAGUUUGAUACUUAGCACACAUU
Long non-coding RNA from Dreissena polymorpha, 3453 nucleotides. RefSeq lists it as uncharacterized. The transcript is spliced from 9 exons. The record is from RefSeq and is a predicted model, not a curated record. NCBI's taxonomy places the organism in Eukaryota, Metazoa, Mollusca, Bivalvia, Myida, Dreissenidae.